CGGGGCUACGCUGUUAGCAGCGGAAGACUUGGCUGCCGAGAGCAGUGCGGCUUGGGCGCGUCUGCCUCCCUUCGUCAGUCUGUGUUGGUUCUUUGUGAAGACUCACGGCUUGACGCCAUCUAGGGAGACAGCAGCAUGGCUGCAGUAAAGCUCUGGACCGAACCUAGUGUAUAGGACGCCCGCAGUAUUGGAGCCCGAGUGGAAAGCUAAGUGAGGGAGUCCUGUGGAAGUCCAUGGGCUCAGUCAUCUUAUCUGACGCACCCUUUCUUAGAUAAAGCCACUUAGAGUUGAGUUCCCCGCUAGCUCUAGCUGUGGCGAACCGUUCCUCCGCCUGAUUCUUCCUCUGAAGAAAUACCCAUUCUCCCAGUUCCUCAUGCUAGCCUGGGAUACAUGAAACUCCAUUUCAAAGAAGACAAAAAGGAAAUGAGUAACAACAAUAAAAAACUAGGUAAGCAAAGACUCCCUUUGUUUUUAGGACCCUUAGUAAUUUACAAGUGUUUCUGCCAAUAGAUCAGUAACUGAAAGCCACACUCUCAACUCCCCAUGUGUGGGGUGCAU
This 558-nucleotide long non-coding RNA is filed under the name Cricetulus griseus (Chinese hamster). RNAcentral describes it as "lncRNA (ENSCGRG00015031746.1)". The record is from RNAcentral. Lineage: Eukaryota; Metazoa; Chordata; Mammalia; Rodentia; Cricetidae.